AAACCGGGAAAAAACCCGGUGGGCCCCGGCCCACUUGGGCCCCCGCCGGCCCAGUCCCGGUCCUAGAUUGGCCCCCGAACGGCAGUAAAAGUUUUUCGGCGCUGUUGCGCAUGCACGCAUUGGGGCUGACGUUCGCGCAUGCGCAUUGGGGCUGAUGUUCGCGCAUGCGCACUCGUUCAUGCGCACGGGGCCCCCGAGGUUCACAACCCGGUGGGCCCCGACUGCGCCAGUCCGACCCUGCUCCCCCCUACCUCUCCUAGGAGCUUCGUGAAACAGCACGGGAACUCUCUGACACCUCCCACCCCGUCUGCUGGCCAAUCAGAGGGACUAUGCCUUUCCCUGACUGAUCUUGAGAGGAGGGAGGAACACGCAGCUGCUUGGUGUGUGUGUGAAGCAGAAUCACAGUGUGCAUGCUGUAAGUCUCUCUACCCGCAAAUCGCCACAAAUCAGAAGCGACCCAUUUUACAGGUUUACAAUGAUCCAAAUAACUGAUCCCUGUUCUACUUUGCAAGUCUGGGCUUCUAGAGAACACAGCAUCAUCAAGGCCUGAGUUAAAAGAAAUAACACAUUAAUUGCAUCAUAACUGCAGCCUCUAAGGCCAGAUAUAUCUGACGCAGUUGCAUCCGAUGAGUCAAAAUAUGCACAACUGCACUAAUGCUUCUACAUGGAUCUGAUGCAAUUGUGCAGAAUAUUUUCAACUCCAGACUUGGCAUCAUAAUUAUGUCUCCACUUGAUUCUCUAUUUUCUUUGUUGUUAAAUGGGUCAUCCCUUGUAUAUUGUCUUUAGCAUUUUGUAUAUUGUCUUUAGCAUUUUGUAUAUUGUCUUGAGCAUUUCCCAAUCACAGCUGCUAACACUGCAACUGACAAUACAAGGAAAGUUGUCUACAGUAGUGUAUCAAUCAACAAGGAAUGAUUAUUUUGACACGUAUGAUUUGUAUUAAAUAUUUGUCCAUUGUUUUACCUUGAAACAGUUGAUGUUUUGUUCUGCCUGCUCCUGCAUUGGAGCUCUUGUGAGGAAGUGACAAAAAACGAACAUUUUUGGCACAAGUCUGUAAAUAAAUAAAGAAAGAUUUUUGGAAA
Xenopus laevis (African clawed frog) is the source of this 1079-nucleotide long non-coding RNA. RefSeq lists it as uncharacterized. The transcript is spliced from 2 exons. The record is from RefSeq and is a predicted model, not a curated record. Lineage: Eukaryota; Metazoa; Chordata; Amphibia; Anura; Pipidae.